This 555-nucleotide long non-coding RNA is filed under the name Ananas comosus (pineapple). Its description in RNAcentral is "long non-coding RNA (ACOM_LNC017157)". Lineage: Eukaryota; Viridiplantae; Streptophyta; Magnoliopsida; Poales; Bromeliaceae. The record is from RNAcentral.
UGAUGUCAAUUUUGAUCUUAACUUUUGAGCGACUUCAAAGUUUAAAAUGACAAAUAGGUAAACAACACAAAAAAAAAAAAAAAUCGUUAUUAUCUAAAAACUUAAACUAUUAGAGAACGAUAUUUUUAUAUUUUAUCUUCAAUACUCCCCUUCAGACUGGAUUCGAGAUUUUUGAUAAGCCAAAGAUGUGGAUUUGAAUUAAACAUGAGAAAAUUAAAUGAGAUUUUUGGUAAGCCCAAAAAGUAGAUUUGAAUUAAACGAGAGAAAAUUAAAUGAGAUUUUUGGUAAGCCCAAAACAUAGAUUUGAAUUAAACGAGAAAAAAUUAAAUGAGACUAAGAGCCUAAUGGGGUUCGAACAUAGUAAGUCAGUUUGGGCUUGAGAUUUGUGAUAAGUCCAUGAUGUGGAUUCGAAUUAAAUGAAAAAAAAUUAAACAAGAUUUUUGAUAAGCCCAAAAUGCGAAUUUGAAUUAAACGGAAGAAAAUUAAAUGAGACUAGGAGCCUAAUAAGAUUUGAACUCAAUGAGUCUUGGGUUGAGAUUUUUGAUAAGUCCGUGA